CAGCACCCAACCAUAGUUAACCUGUCUGCAACCUCGGAGACAUCCGACCUUCUCCUAGAUUGCUGCGACAGAGAGCUAUUCUGCUCCACCAGACGUCCCAAUUGAGCUUCAGUCGUCCGGCCUGAACUCUCCGACGAGUCACGACAACGGACACCACUCCACUCUUCAUAGCAAACUCCACGUGGCCCCACCACUCUCCGGC
Molecule: long non-coding RNA, 202 nt
Filed under: Elaeis guineensis (African oil palm)
Lineage: Eukaryota; Viridiplantae; Streptophyta; Magnoliopsida; Arecales; Arecaceae
Description: long non-coding RNA (EGUI_LNC072774)
Source: RNAcentral